RNAcentral lists this ribosomal RNA (700 nucleotides) under uncultured bacterium. Its description in RNAcentral is "bacterial SSU rRNA". It matches the Rfam family "Bacterial small subunit ribosomal RNA", at positions 94 to 828 of the family's 1533-position model. The record is from RNAcentral.
AGUGGCGGACGGGUGAGUAACGCGUAAGAAUCUAACUUCAGGACGGGGACAACAGUGGGAAACGACUGCUAAUACCCGAUGUGCCGCGAGGUGAAACCUAAUUGGCCUGAAGAAGAGCUUGCGUCUGAUUAGCUAGUUGGUGGGGUAAGAGCCUACCAAGGCGACGAUCAGUAGCUGGUCUGAGAGGAUGAGCAGCCACACUGGGACUGAGACACGGCCCAGACUCCUACGGGAGGCAGCAGUGGGGAAUUUUCCGCAAUGGGCGAAAGCCUGACGGAGCAACGCCGCGUGAGGGAGGAAGGUCUCUGGAUUGUAAACCUCUUUUCUCAAGGAAGAAGUUCUGACGGUACUUGAGGAAUCAGCCUCGGCUAACUCCGUGCCAGCAGCCGCGGUAAUACGGGGGAGGCAAGCGUUAUCCGGAAUUAUUGGGCGUAAAGCGUCCGCAGGUGGUCAGCCAAGUCUGCCGUCAAAUCAGGUUGCUUAACGACCUAAAGGCGGUGGAAACUGGCAGACUAGAGAGCAGUAGGGGUAGCAGGAAUUCCCAGUGUAGCGGUGAAAUGCGUAGAGAUGGGGAAGAACAUCGGUGGCGAAAGCGUGCUACUGGGCUGUAUCUGACACUCAGGGACGAAAGCUAGGGGAGCGAAAGGGAUUAGAUACCCCUGUAGUCCUAGCCGUAAACGAUGGAUACUAGGCGUGGCUU